AAAUAAACACACACACUAAACCAGUCAAGUACGCGGUGGAGUGAAACGGUCGAGUAAACGGCGAAUUUAGAGAAGACGGUGGCGGUUUGAGGAGUAGUCGAGUAAAGAGACGAAUGGAGGCGCAGUGAAUGGCGAGGUCGAGUGAAUGGUGGAUAGUUGAGAGAUGGUGAAGCCGGUCCGGUGGUCGAGUGAACGGAGAUGACGGAAGCACGGACAAUGGCGAGAAACUCCGGCGAAGAUGUUGAGGCGAAGUGUGAAGUGGUCGAGUGAAACGAGAGACGGUGAGAGAGUAUGCGAAGCUGGAACGGCGAGAAGCUCCGGCGAAGUCGAGUAAAUGAAGAUGAAGAUGAAGCACGGAGAGGUCGAGUUGCGGUCGAGUGGUAAGGAGGCGACGGUGAGAAGGAAGAAAUGGCGAAAUCGAGUACCAUCGUCGAGUGAAGGAGAGAGUGAAGGAGGUGGCGCGAACGGCGACGGUUGUUUCGAGGUAGAGUGAAGGAGGGAGACAAAGCCGGAGGGGCGAGAUCGAGUGAACGGUGAGGUCGAGUGUGAUGGUGCGGUCGAGUGACUGAAGAGGAAGAGAUAUGGUGAGGUUUGGUCGUGCGUGUGAGGAUGAGGUCGAGUGAGGGUUGUGAGGAAGAGAGAUAGUGUCGGUGGGGAGAGAUAGGGUUAGAUCGAGUGGAUGAGAUGGAGUGCUGGGAUUUUCUUAUCCUUAGAAACGCUUGGGGAACAAAAGUGAGAGGUGGUGGGCCACGCUCUGUCUGUUUGUCCUGAAGCAUUGUUUAUUGUUGUCUAGGAAUGUCUCAGAGCCUUCUGUAAUCCUCUGUAAAUUUGAUAAGCUCUCUGUAAGUCUUUGUAGCUUCUGUUGGUCGAGUAUAAAUAUGAUUUCAAAAUUUUGAGUUUUUAAAAUCAUUACUAAUACUCGACCAAACUACUCGAACUCAUGGCCUCUGAGUGCAACAGAGGUUUUUUCAAAUUCUUGAAUUUCUGAAAUACUCGAUCUCCUGUUGCUCUGUAGAGUAAAAAUUUUAAAUUUUUACUCUACCUCCACGCUGUUUCUCUGUUCCUGAGAAUCAGAAACACAACCAAAAACAGAUCAAAAAUAACGAGAAAAUAAAAGUUUUAUUUACAGAAACAGUCUUGGGAAUUCCUCCCAAGUGAGCUUGUUUAAAGUCUCUAGCUUGACUCCUCACACUCAUUAAGAAGAAAAUGGGUGAUAGAGAGGGUCUGCAUAGUCCUCUCUAAUCUCAUCAUCAUAUUCAGCAUCCUCUCUUGAGAGAUGAGUUGCAGAAUACUCAAUUCUUCUUUCCUCGAAAUAGGCUUCUUUCUCUUCUGGUGGAUAAUCUAUCUCUUCAGACCAUCUUGAAGUAAUCUUUUUCCUCGGGAUAGUGUUAUUCCCGCAUUUGGAUUUAGCUAUCUCUUGCAUCUGAUCCAGUUUACUCUUAAGUUGCUCAACUGUCUGAGCUAGCUUCUCUAUGGUCUCUUCUUGCUCAUCAGAUUUCUUUUUGAGAUUUCGCAAGUCGGGUGUAGAGGCUGUGCUUGGUCUAGCGAUUGAAUUCGAAGGCUGAGGUUGAGCCCUGACCUUUUCUUCUACAGCUGUCCUUUGCGAGGUUUUAUUGAUGUCAAACUGGAGCUUGAUGUGCUUCCCAAGGUUGAGACUUAUUCUCCCAUCUCUGACAUCUAUCAUCGCUCCCACUGAGGCUAAGAAAGGUCUUCCUAGGAUUAGAGGAUCCUUAGGUUCUGCUUCCAUAUCAAGCACAACGAAAUCCGUAGGCACCUCCACUCCAUUAAUCAUUAGUGGCAGAUCUUGUAGAAGGCCGAAGGGUUUUCUUGAAGACCCAUCAGCAAGGAUUAAAGUCAGGUCGCAAGGUUUGUACUGAGUGAAUUCCAGCUUCCUUGCUACUGAGAGUGGCAUUAGGCUUACUGAAGCUCCCAAAUCACAAAGGCAAUUGCUGAAAACCAAUUGACCGAUGGAACAUGGUAGAGUGAAAGUUCCUGGAUCUUCCAGUUUUUCUUGAACACUCCUCUUAACAGUGGUCCUAGACGGGAUAGCAUCACAUUCGUCUUCUGAAUCUUGAUGAAUCUUGAUCCUUUCUAGAAUUGACUUUCUCACAUCUUUGUGAGGAUCCGGGAUUAGGUUGAGCACUUCUAUUAGAGGCAUCACCGCUUCCAUCUCAUCAAGCUGCUUCUCUGCAAGAGAAUUGUAUCUUUCUAUCCAUGCUUUCCUGAAUUUCCAUGGAAGAGCACGUGAAGGUAAUGGUGCUGGCUUGAAUCGUUUUACCAUCCUCUCAAUGAUGGCUGCUUUCUCGUCUAGGUUGGACUGUGUUUGAAAUCGGGAUCCUGCUGAAUGGUCGAGUCCAACCACUGAAAUUUCAAUCUGAGUAGAAACCUCCCCGUCUUGAACAUCACUGUCCUCGGUGAUUGAUGUGGAGACAUGUCGAGUAGGCAGCUCUCGAUCAUGGCAGAUGGUGAUAGCGUGAGCGGUGGCGUAUUCCUUCGGGUUCUGUAUGGACUUUCCUGGAAGUCCUGUUACUUUUGGAGCAGAAGUUGACGCUGUUUGUCCUUCCAUGUAUCUGACCUUAGAGGUAAGUGCCUCAAGUUUGAUAUUCAGAUCGUUGAAAGUACAAUCAACCUUGUUGUGGAUUUCGGCCAUCUUUUUGGCGAGAUCCAUUGCUCCUGCAGCUUGCCCUUGGAGAAUCUGCUGUAACAUGUUCUUCAAGUCUGAAUCUGGAGUUGUUGAAGCUGGUUGUUGUUGCUGCUGUGUGAACCCAGGUGGUGGAAGUUGCUGCUGAUAGUUGCCCUGAUACUGCUGCUUAGGAACAUACCCUUGACCUUGGUUGUAUGGAACAAAGGGCUUGGGUUGAUUCUGCUGCUGUGAAGGGUAAACUUGGUCCUGCGGGUUUGCAACGUUUGUACUUCUGUAAGACAGAUUGGGAUGGUUCUGCUUGAAGUUGUUGAAACCUUUGUUGUAACCUCCUUGGUUCUGCACAUAACUGACCUCUUCUGAUUGCAUAGUCUCCCCAUCCUGAACUUGGAACGUCUCAUCAUCACCCAGAAAAUGAAUGUGCUUCUGUUGCGCAAGCAGUAGCUUGUCCAGUUUGUCAUUCAUGGCUUUCAUUUCCCUGCGGUGCUUCUCAUCAGAAUCAGAGCUGGUGCGGACGCUUCUAUCAUAAUCUUCAUUAUAGUUGCCAUCCGACUGAGCUAAGUUCUCUACCAGCUCCCAUCCGUCUUCAACGUCUUUGUUGAGAAAGUUCCCGUUAGAAGCGGUAUCUAGAAGCAUCCUGAUUUUUGGGAGGACACCUCUGUAGAGAGUGCUGAGAAGCGAAGCUUUGGAGAAACCAUGAUGAGGACAUUGCGUCUGAUAACCUUUGAAGCGCUCCCAUGCUUCGCAGAAAGUCUCAUUAUUCGUCUGAGUGAAACCGGAGAUAUCAUUCCUUAGUCUCGCAGUCCUGGAGUUCGAGAAAAACUUAGCCAAGAAGGCUUUCUUGCAGUCAUUCCAGGAGGUGAUAGAGCCUUGAGGAAGCGACUUUUCCCACUGAUGGGCUUUGUCUCCAAGAGAGAAAGGAAACAAUCUGAGCUUGAAGCCAUCCUCACUGACUCCAUUGAUCUUUGUUAGGCUGCAGAGCCUAUCAAACUCGUCCAGGUGAUCGAGUGGAUCCUCCAUAGGGAGGCCGUGGAACUUGUUGCUCUGAACCAUGGCAAUGAGACCGCUCUUGAUCUCAAAGUUGUUGUUCUGCACAGGUGGAGGCACGAUUCCAUUACGCUGAUUGUGGUUGCGUGGUGCAUCGCCUGCACCUAUGUUGUUUGGUUGCACCUGCUCAUCAACAACUGCAGCCAUUGUGUCUGUUUCUGUCUGUGUUCUGAGUUGGCGUGCAAUACGGUCGAUGUUAUCGUUGAACAGGAGAUUCUGAUAUCCUCGUGACCGUGUUUGCAUACAACGAGUACCAACUGGUGAAGCUAGUGAUCCGUAGUACCUAAAUCAAAACAGACAAACAGAAAUAACACAAAGUUAGUAACUUUCAGAAAAAAUGAAAAAGAACUUGAUCUUAAAUAUUCUGAAAUCUCAAAUAUAGCAAACAAACACCCAAUUGGCAACGGCGCCAAAUUGAUAAUAUAUUUUUAGUCAAUUAUUCCUAAAACACCAAUCAUGUCAUUGUAGUAUUUUAGGUGUCAAUCCAAAUGGGUGUGAUGCAAACAGAUGAGAUGUGAUCAGAAGUCUCUAAGUCAAGCCAAGCAAUAACAGAUUUGGGGUUUCUAAGAGUCCUAAGCGAACAUGCAGAAAACAGAAGCAAUAACAGAAUUACUAAAAUCACUCGACCACAACAGGCUGAUGCCAUAAGUAGGAUGUGGUCGAGUAACAGGUCGAGUAACAGACAGGAUAUGAAACAGCUAUACUCGACUGCACAGUCUGUUGCCAGACACUGGGUGUGGUCGAGUAUACUGGUCGAGUGAUUGUAAAAACUAAGAAACAGGCAAUGAGAACGAUUAAGCGAUAACGAUAAAACAGAGAAAUAAGGUAGACGAGAAAUUCCUAAGGAUGGGGUAAUCGAGUAGAGUGGUGUCCUAGCCUAUUCGAAUGGUUAACAAGCGCAAUCAAGCUAUCCCUAGACAACAGGUUCAACAACAGAUCAAUCCACUCCCGUGAUAGAAAUCCUCAAGCAAAGCUAGCCAAGACUAAUUCCCAUUAACGGAAUCUAACUAUGCAGGUAAUACGAACAGACUGAUAAAGUCAAUAAACGCUCUAAACGGCCAAUCCCUUGGGAUAGAGACGCAUAUCUCAGGAACUAGUGGAUCAAGCAUUCCAUCGAACACCUUCUGGGUGCGGGAAUGCUUGGGAUCGAAUUCCAGUUGAUCAGAAAGAAAUAAGCAGUAAACGCAACUAGUCCUAAAGGGAUUCAAUCAAUUCUAAAACUUAACCAUUCUACAGACUACGGAUUCCACAACUACUCUAUCCCAUCCCUAAGAAUUCUAAGUCACUACUCAGACAGCAUGCUCAAAGACAUAAACGCAGGUAAACGAUAAUAUUGCAUAAGUAAAGAGAUAAAGAGUAGAGAAACAAGAUGACUAAUGAAAUCAAACGCGGAAUCUCAAUAACUUGGAAAAAUCGCGAACUACAGGUUGCAAAAGCAAAAGCGGCGUAGCAGAGUAAAACUGAAAAUAAAACUGAAGCAAAAACGCAAUGUCGACUAGAUGUUUUAGGACAGAACCCUAAAACAUCUAUUUAUACCAAACAAAAUAAAAUGAUAGUAGACGGGCCAAUAACCUAAUCGCCCGGCCCAUAGAGUGAUAACGGGCCGAGAUGGGCUUCGUGAUCCGAUGGAGGUCCAGGCCGCUUCCAAACACUUUGUCUUCUCCUCUUUUCUUCCUUGUGCUCAGCUUGUCUGGUUGAGUGCGGAUUUGAGUAGACUGUGAAGACGUGAUCGAGUGUCCGGUCGAGUGAUGGUGAUGGUGGUGAGUGAUGAUACUCGACCAGGGGGUCGAGUAACGUGGUAGAGUGAAUGGUCGAGUGUGGUCAGGUGGUGUGGCGAAGCGGUACUCGACCGGGGGUCGAGUAAUGUCGUCGAGUGGCCUGAGCUGAGGUUACUCGACCUGGUGGUAGAGUGGACGGGAAGAAUGGCUCCAAAGUCACUCGACCUGGGGGUCGAGUAUGUGGGAAGAAUGGCUCCAAAGUCACUCGGCCUGGGGGUCGAGUAUGUCUUCUGGUUCUGGCUCGUUUCUUCCAAUUUGCUCGCAAACAGCUCCAAAUCACCUGAAAACAACUCAGAAAUGCAAUAUGUAUGCAAAGCUAUCCUAAUCAUGCAAAGUGUGCAAGAAUGAUGAGAAAUGAUAUAAAACAGUGAUGAAUGAUACGAAACUAGACUCAAAGUGAUGAUGAAUAGACACUGAAAACAUGCAAAUUAUAGACAUAUCAAAAGUCCAUGACGCUUUCAAGUUUACAGAAAAGGAAAUUUGCCCCAGAAGACUUCCCUAUUUGCAUUAUUAAUCACUGGACGUUUUAUAGGGUUUAUAUACAUUGUUUUAGACCUAAGUUUCUUUUAUCAAGU
RNAcentral lists this small RNA (6041 nucleotides) under Arabidopsis thaliana (thale cress). Its description in RNAcentral is "ATSL265260". The stretch from base 3333 to 3439 matches the Rfam family "Plant small nucleolar RNA R71". The record is from RNAcentral. Lineage: Eukaryota; Viridiplantae; Streptophyta; Magnoliopsida; Brassicales; Brassicaceae.